UAGGGAAUCUUCCACAAUGGGCGAAAGCCUGAUGGAGCAACGCCGCGUGUGUGAUGAAGGCUUUCGGGUCGUAAAGCACUGUUGUAUGGGAAGAACAGCUAGAAUAGGAAAUGAUUUUAGUUUGACGGUACCAUACCAGAAAGGGACGGCUAACUACGCGCCAG
RNAcentral lists this ribosomal RNA (164 nucleotides) under uncultured bacterium. RNAcentral's name for it is "partial 16S ribosomal RNA". It matches the Rfam family "Bacterial small subunit ribosomal RNA", at positions 355 to 511 of the family's 1533-position model. The record is from RNAcentral.